This 236-nucleotide ribosomal RNA is filed under the name uncultured Candidatus Saccharibacteria bacterium. RNAcentral's name for it is "partial 16S ribosomal RNA". It matches the Rfam family "Bacterial small subunit ribosomal RNA", at positions 584 to 818 of the family's 1533-position model. Lineage: Bacteria; Candidatus Saccharimonadota. The record is from RNAcentral.
UAAGUAGAUAGUGAAAUCUGGUGGCUCAACCAUUCAGACUAUUAUCUAAACUGCUCCGCUCGAGAGCGUUAGGGGUAGCUGGAAUUUCUAGUGUAGGAGUGAAAUCCGUAGAUAUUAGAAAGAACACCGAUAGCGUAGGCAGGCUACUGGGACGUUUCUGACACUAAGGCACGAAAGCGUGGGGAGCAAACGGGAUUAGAUACCCGGGUAGUCCACGCCGUAAACGAUGGAUACUA